AUUGAACGCUGGCGGCAGGCCUAACACAUGCAAGUCGAGCGGAUGAAGGGAGCUUGCUCCUGGAUUCAGCGGCGGACGGGUGAGUAAUGCCUAGGAAUCUGCCUGGUAGUGGGGGAUAACGUCCGGAAACGGGCGCUAAUACCGCAUACGUCCUGAGGGAGAAAGUGGGGGAUCUUCGGACCUCACGCUAUCAGAUGAGCCUAGGUCGGAUUAGCUAGUUGGUGGGGUAAAGGCCUACCAAGGCGACGAUCCGUAACUGGUCUGAGAGGAUGAUCAGUCACACUGGAACUGAGACACGGUCCAGACUCCUACGGGAGGCAGCAGAGGGGAAUAUUGGACAAUAGGCGAAAGCCUUAUCCAGCCAUGCCGCGUGUGUGAAGAAGGUCUUCGGAUUGUAAAGCACUUUAAGUUGGGAGGAAGGGCAGUAAGUUAAUACCUUGCUGUUUUGACGUUACCAACAGAAUAAGCACCGGCUAACUUCGUG
Molecule: ribosomal RNA, 484 nt
Filed under: uncultured bacterium
Lineage: Bacteria
Description: partial 16S ribosomal RNA
Rfam family: Bacterial small subunit ribosomal RNA
Source: RNAcentral